UGGGGUCAGGGUCUCUGAUGCUCCCACCUCAGGGCCUUUGCACCUGCUGUUCUUACUAGAGCUCCCUUCUCUGAACUUUGUCCUGCUUGCACCCAACCCAGUGUCUUCUCAGACAGGUUUUCCUGGGACCGCUCAUGUACACCAGUCACCCCUGUCAAAACCCUACUCAGUGUUCACUAUGAUGAGUGCAUUCAAUUAUGGUUUACAGAAGGCUCGCACAAGCGGUACAGAGGGCUCCUGUGCACGCUUGACCAGCUUCCCCUACCGUCACCUGUGAUGCAUUCGUCAAAGCUGAGAUAAUCCACUCAGUGCAAGGCUCUCAGCCAAACUACAGACUUCCUUGGGAUGUCACCACUAUUUCCACUAAAGUUGUUUUUCUGUCCCAGGAUCCAGUCCAGGAUACCAUGUUGCAUUUAGAUUAAACUCAGUCUUUCAAAAGAGAAAAA
Molecule: non-coding RNA, 446 nt
Organism: Equus caballus (horse)
Lineage: Eukaryota; Metazoa; Chordata; Mammalia; Perissodactyla; Equidae
Source: RefSeq, a predicted model, not a curated record